UACGGAGGUGGCAAGCGUUGCUCGGAAUCACUGGGCGUAAAGGGCGCGUAGGCGGGGAGGUAAGUCGGGUGUGAAAUCCCUCGGCCCAACCGAGGAACUGCGCCCGAGACUGCUUCUCUUGAGUCCCGGAGAGGAAGGUGGAAUUCCCGGUGUAGCGGUGAAAUGUGUAGAGAUCGGGAGGAACAUCCGUGGCGAAGGCGGCCAUCUGGAUCAACACUGACGCUGAGGCACGAAAGCCAGGGGAGCGAACGGG
RNAcentral lists this ribosomal RNA (253 nucleotides) under uncultured bacterium. RNAcentral describes it as "partial 16S ribosomal RNA". It matches the Rfam family "Bacterial small subunit ribosomal RNA", at positions 524 to 776 of the family's 1533-position model. The record is from RNAcentral.